GGGCGUGUAGCGCAGUUGGUAGCGCGUCUGCCCUGCAAGCAGAAGGUCACUGGUUCAAAUCCUGUCUCGUCCA
RNAcentral lists this transfer RNA (73 nucleotides) under Brettanomyces bruxellensis. RNAcentral's name for it is "Dekkera bruxellensis tRNA". It matches the Rfam family "tRNA". From Rfam's summary of the family: Transfer RNA (tRNA) molecules are approximately 80 nucleotides in length. Their secondary structure includes four short double-helical elements and three loops (D, anti-codon, and T loops). The record is from Rfam by way of RNAcentral. RNAcentral also lists the same sequence under 1 other name. Lineage: Eukaryota; Fungi; Ascomycota; Pichiomycetes; Pichiales; Pichiaceae.